Molecule: ribosomal RNA, 463 nt
Filed under: uncultured bacterium
Lineage: Bacteria
Description: partial 16S ribosomal RNA
Rfam family: Bacterial small subunit ribosomal RNA
Source: RNAcentral
GAUGAACGCUGACAGAAUGCUUAACACAUGCAAGUCUUUGGUGAAGCUGUGCUUGCACAGCCUAGCCAAGGCGGACGGGUGAGUAACGCGUAAGGAACUUGCCCUGCAGUCAGGGAUAACAGACGGAAACGACUGAUAAGACCUGGUAAAGUCAGGCGGACUCAUGUCCAGCCUGAUGAAAAGAGAUGCUGCAGGAGAGCCUUGCGUCCUAUUAGCUUGUUGGUGGGGUAACGGCCCACCAAGGCGAUGAUAGGUAGCCGGCCUGAGAGGGUGGACGGCCACAAGGGGACUGAGAUACGGCCCUUACUCCUACGGGAGGCAGCAGUGGGGAAUAUUGGACAAUGGGGGCAACCCUGAUCCAGCAAUUCUGUGUGCACGAUGAAGGUUUUCGGAUUGUAAAGUGCUUUCAGCAGGGAAGAAAAAAAUGACGGUACCUGCAGAAGAAGCGACGGCUAAAUACGUG